Molecule: ribosomal RNA, 468 nt
Filed under: uncultured Pseudomonas sp.
Lineage: Bacteria; Pseudomonadati; Pseudomonadota; Gammaproteobacteria; Pseudomonadales; Pseudomonadaceae
Description: bacterial SSU rRNA
Rfam family: Bacterial small subunit ribosomal RNA
Source: RNAcentral
ACAAGCGGUGGAGCACGUGGUUUAAUUCGAUGCAAACCGAACGAACCUUACCUGGGUUUGACAUGUACGUGUUACUGAUCUGAGAGGAGAGGGACCCAUGCUUCGGUAUGGGAGCGUACACAGGUGCUGCAUGGCUGUCGCCAGCUCGUGUCGUGAGAUGUUGGGUUAAGUCCCGUAACGAGCGCAACCCUUGUCCUUAGUUACCAGCACGUUAUGGUGGGCACUCUAAGGAGACUGCCGGUGACAAACCGGAGGAAGGUGGGGAUGACGUCAAGUCAUCAUGGCCCUUACGGCCUGGGCUACACACGUGCUACAAUGGUCGGUACAAAGGGUUGCCAAGCCGCGAGGUGGAGCUAAUCCCAUAAAACCGAUCGUAGUCCGGAUCGCAGUCUGCAACUCGACUGCGUGAAGUCGGAAUCGCUAGUAAUCGUGAAUCAGAAUGUCACGGUGAAUACGUUCCCGGGCCUU